UGGCGACCGGCGCACGGGUGAGUAACACGUAUCCAACCUACCUUUAACAGGGGGAUAACACUGAGAAAUUGGUACUAAUACCCCAUAAUAUCAUAGAAGGCAUCUUUUAUGGUUGAAAAUUCCGAUGGUUAGAGAUGGGCAUGCGUUGUAUUAGCUAGUUGGUGGGGUAACGGCUCACCAAGGCGACGAUACAUAGGGGGACUGAGAGGUUAACCCCCCACACUGGUACUGAGACACGGACCAG
This 244-nucleotide ribosomal RNA is filed under the name uncultured bacterium. RNAcentral describes it as "partial 16S ribosomal RNA". It matches the Rfam family "Bacterial small subunit ribosomal RNA", at positions 89 to 334 of the family's 1533-position model. The record is from RNAcentral.